GAUGAACGCUGGCGGCGUGCUUAAUACAUGCAAGUCGAACGGAGAGAGUAGCAAUACUGUCUUAGUGGCGAACGGGUGAGUAACGCGUUGGUGACCUGCCCCGAAGAGGGGGAUAACAGUUCGAAAGGACUGCUAAUACCCCAUGAUAUCUACCCGGUUAGAGGAGGUAGAUGAAAGGAGAGAUCCGCUUUGGGAGGGGCCUGCGUCCCAUCAGCUAGUUGGUAGGGUAAAGGCCUACCAAGGCAAAGACGGGUAGGGGGCCUGAGAGGGUGACCCCCCACACUGGCACUGAAACACGGGCCAGACACCUACGGGUGGCAGCAGUAGGGAAUAUUGCACAAUGGGCGAAAGCCUGAUGCAGCAACGCCGCGUGCGCGAUGACGGCCUUCGGGUUGUAAAGCGCUUUUCGGGGAGAUGAGGAAGGACAGUAUCCCCGGAAUAAGGCUCGGCUAACUACGUG
RNAcentral lists this ribosomal RNA (460 nucleotides) under uncultured bacterium. RNAcentral describes it as "bacterial SSU rRNA". It matches the Rfam family "Bacterial small subunit ribosomal RNA", at positions 28 to 507 of the family's 1533-position model. The record is from RNAcentral.